GGAAUAAAAUCCUUCAAAAAGGAGGAAAAUUUUUAAAAAUCCUUCAAAAAGGAGGAAAAAUGGAAUAAAAUCCUUCAAAAUGUGCUUUAAAAUGGAGGGAAAAUCCUUCAAAAUUAUGGAAAAUUCCUUCCAAAAUGAGGAAAAAUCCUGGCAAAUGGAAGGGAAUUCCUUCAAAGUGAGUGAGAACCCCUGGGAUGGAUGAAGAGGGGAGUGGGGUGGGAAUUCCUGGUGGGAUUGAGGCUGGAGAAGACCUCAAAAAUCGUGGAGUCAACCAAAGAUGGUCCAGGAAGAUCUCAAGAACUUGGAAAAGUCAGGUUUGAAACGGGAAAUGGAGGAAAUCCUCUGAGUUUUUCCCCCAAAACCACCUUGGAGAUGGUUGAAGUCUCCAGUGGGAAUCCGUGGUGGGCUUGAGGUUGGAAAAGACCUCGAAAAUCACGGAGUCGACCAGAGAUGGUCCAAGAAGAUGGAGGAGAACUCCAGAAGCAGCUUUUGAAUAAGAAAUUGAGGAAAUCCUCUGAAUUUUCCCCCCAAAACCACCAAUUUUUCAUCCCAAAACCACCUUGGAGAUGGUUGAGAUCUCCAGUGGGAACCCACGGUGGAACCUCUACUGAAGGUGACCCAAGAUCUCAAGAACCUGAAAACGGCACCUUUUAAACGAGAAAAUAAACGAGCAAAUCCCAUCACUUUUCCCUUAAAUCCACCUCGGACAGAAUCAGAACUCCAAGAAACUCCCAAAAUUCCAUGGCCCCUGCCCCACCCCACGUCCAGGAGUUGAUUUUCGGCGCGGAACCUCCCGGUCCGUGGGGUCCCCCCGUUCGGGAGCCGCGGCGGCGCCGAGCCCGGCGUCACCCCCGGCCCCCCGCUGUGCUUGCAGGACGUGUUCGAGAUGCGCUUUGCCAAGAUGCCGGACGAGCCGGAGGAGCCGGCCGUGCCCGCCUCGUCGCCGGUGGUGGUGCCACCUCCCACCAAGGUGGCGCCGCCCUCGUCCAGCGACAGCAGCAGCGACAGCUCCUCGGACAGCGACAGCUCCUCCGACGACUCCGAGGAGGAGCGGGCGCAGCGCUUGGCCGAGCUGCAGGAGCAGCUGAAGGCCGUGCACGAGCAGCUGGCGGCGCUGUCCCAGCCCCAGCAGAACAAACCAAAGAAGAAGGAGAAGGACAAGAAGGAGAAGAAGAAGGAGAAGCACAAAAAGAAGGAGGAGCUGGACGAGGCCAAGAAGAGCAAGGCCAAGGAGCCGCCGCCCAAGAAGGCCAAGAAGAGCAACAGCAGCAGCAGCAGCAGCGCCUCCAGCAAGAAGGAGCCGGCGCCGGUGAAGCCCAGCAAAGCCGCGCCCGCCUACGAGUCGGAGGAGGAGGAGAAGUGCAAGCCCAUGUCCUACGAGGAGAAGCGGCAGCUGAGCCUGGACAUCAACAAACUGCCCGGCGAGAAGCUUGGGCGCGUGGUGCACAUCAUCCAGUCCCGCGAGCCCUCGCUCAAGAACUCCAACCCCGACGAGAUCGAGAUCGACUUCGAGACGCUGAAGCCGUCGACGCUGCGCGAGCUCGAGCGCUACGUCACCUCCUGCCUGCGCAAGAAGAGGAAAGCCCCAGAGAAGCUCGACGUCCUGGCCGGCUCCUCCAAGCUCAAGGGAUUCUCCUCGUCGGAGUCGGAAUCCAGCAGCGAGUCGAGCUCUUCCGACAGCGACGAGUCGGACUCAGAGAUGGCGCCGAAGUUGAAGAAAAAAGGGCACUCGGGGCGGGAGCAGAAAAAGCACCACCACCACCACCACCAGCCGCCGCCGCAGCCGCCGCCGGCGCCGCCGCAGCCCGCGCCGCCGGCGCUGCAGCCGCCGCAGCCGCCGCCCGUCCCGCAGCCCGCGGCGCCGCUGAAGGCGUCGCCGCCGCCGCCCUUCGUCGCCGCGCCGGUGCCCGUCCUGGAGCACCCCUUGCCGGGGACCAUGUUCGACACCAUGGCCCACUUCGGCCAACCCAUCCUGCACCUGCCCCAGGCCGAGCUGCCCCCGCCCCACCUGCCCCCGGCGCCCGAGCACAGCCCCUCGCCCCACCUCAACCAGCACGUGGUGUCUCCUCCAGGUGAGCCGGGCACGGGCCUCGGCGUCCACCGUGGGCUCCUCGGGGUGUCCCGGGAGGAUGAGGGCAGUGGUAGAUGGAGGAAGGAGAUUCUUGGGUCUUGGUGUCCACCAUGGGCUCCUCGGGGUGUCCCGGGAGGAUGAGGGCGGUGAUAGAUGGGGAAAGAGAGGUUCUUGGGUCUUGGUGUCCACCAUCAGCUCCUCGGGGUGUCCCGGGAGGAUGAGGGCGGUGGUAGAUGGAGGAAGGAGGUUCUUCACUCUUGGUGUCCACCAUCAGCUCCUCGGGGUGUCCCGGGAGGAACAGGAUGGUGAUAGAUGGGCAAAGGGAGGUUCUUCACUCUUGGUGUCCACCAUGGGCUCCUCGGGGUGUCCCGGGAGGAACAGGAUGGUGAUAGAUGGGCAAAGGGAGGUUCUUCACUCUUGGUGUCCACCAUGGGCUCCUUGGGGUGUCCCGGGAGGAUGAGCGUGGUGGUAGAUGGAGGAAAGGGAGGUUCUUCACUCUUGGGGUUCACCAUCGGCUCCUCGGGGUGUCCCGGGAGGAACAGGAUGGUGAUAGAUGGAGGAAAGGGAGGUUCUUCACUCUUGGUGUCCACCAUCGGCUCCUCGGGGUGUCCCAAGAGGAUGAGCAUGGUGAUAGAUGGAGGAAAGGGAGGUUCUUCACUCUUGGGGUUCACCAUGGGCUCCUCGGGGUGUCCCGGGAGGAUGAGGAUGGUGAUAGAUGGGCAAAGGGAGGUUCUUCACUCUUGGUGUCCACCAUGGGCUCCUCGGGGUGUCCCGGGAGGAACAGGAUGGUGGU
This is a long non-coding RNA of Lonchura striata (white-rumped munia), 2864 nucleotides long. NCBI's taxonomy places the organism in Eukaryota, Metazoa, Chordata, Aves, Passeriformes, Estrildidae. The record is from Ensembl.